Molecule: unclassified non-coding RNA, 353 nt
Filed under: soil metagenome
Description: partial contains 5.8S ribosomal RNA, internal transcribed spacer 2, and large subunit ribosomal RNA
Rfam family: 5.8S ribosomal RNA (bases 1-120)
Source: RNAcentral
GAUGAAGAACGCAGCGAAAUGCGAUAAGUAAUGUGAAUUGCAGAAUUCAGUGAAUCAUCGAAUCUUUGAACGCACAUUGCGCCCGCCAGUAUUCUGGCGGGCAUGCCUGUUCGAGCGUCAUUACAACCCUCAGGCCCCCGGGCCUGGCGUUGGGGAUCGGCGGAAGCCCCCUGCGGGCACAACGCCGUCCCCCAAAUACAGUGGCGGUCCCGCCGCAGCUCCCAUUGCGUAGUAGCUAACACCUCGCAACUGGAGAGCGGCGCGGCCACGCCGUAAAACACCCAACUUCUGAAUGUUGACCUCGAAUCAGGUAGGAAUACCCGCUGAACUUAAGCAUAUCAAUAAGCGGAGGA